Molecule: ribosomal RNA, 785 nt
Filed under: uncultured archaeon
Lineage: Archaea
Description: bacterial SSU rRNA
Rfam family: Archaeal small subunit ribosomal RNA
Source: RNAcentral
GUCUUUGGGGGGGCGGGAACCCCCGGGAACUGGGGCUAAUACCUGAUAGAUGAGGAGGCUUGGAACAGUCCCUCGUCGAAAAGGGAACGCGUCCAUAUCAUGUGUUCUCGCCCAAGGAUGGGGCUGCGGCCGAUCAGGUAGUUGGUGAGGUAACGGCUUACCAAGCCUCUGACCGGUACGGGCCGUGAGAGCGGAAGCCCGGAGAUGGGUACUGAGACAAGGACCCAGGCCCUACGGGGCGCAGCAGGCGCGAAACCUCCACAAUGCGCGCAAGCGCGAUGGGGUUACCUCGAGUGCCGUCUGAAGAAGAUGGCUUUUCCAUAGUGUAAUGAUCUAUGGGAAUAAGAGGGGGGCAAGACUGGUGUCAGCCGCCGCGGUAACACCAGCCCCUCGAGUGGUGGGGACAGUUAUUUGGCCUAAAGCGUUCGUAGCCGGUUCCAUAAGUCCCUCGUUAAAUCCGACGUCCUAAGCGUUGGACUGCGAGGAAUACUAUGGGGCUAGAGGGUGGGAGAGGCCAGCGGUAUUUUUGGGGUAGGGGUAAAAUCCUCUGAUCCCAGAAGGACCACCAGUGGCGAAGGCUGCUGGCUAGAACACGCCUGACGGUGAGGGACGAAAGCUGGGGGAGCGAACCGGAUUAGAUACCCGGGUAGUCCCAGCUGUAAACGAUGCAGGCUAGGUGUUGGAGUGGCCAUGCGCCACUUCAGUGCCACAGGGAAGCCGUUAAGCCUGCCGCCUGGGGAGUACGGUCGCAAGGCUGAAACUUAAAGGAAUUGGCGGGGGAGCAC